GCCGGGAUGGUGGAAUUGGCAGACACAACGGACUUAAAAUCCGUUGGAGCAGAAGCUCCGUGCGGGUUCAAGUCCCGCUCCCGGCACCA
This 89-nucleotide transfer RNA is filed under the name Kosmotoga pacifica. RNAcentral's name for it is "tRNA-Leu". It matches the Rfam family "tRNA". Rfam says of the family: Transfer RNA (tRNA) molecules are approximately 80 nucleotides in length. Their secondary structure includes four short double-helical elements and three loops (D, anti-codon, and T loops). Further hydrogen bonds mediate the characteristic L-shaped molecular structure. tRNAs have two regions of fundamental functional importance: the anti-codon, which is responsible for specific mRNA codon recognition, and the 3' end, to which the tRNAs corresponding amino acid is attached (by aminoacyl-tRNA synthetases). tRNAs cope with the degeneracy of the genetic code in two manners: having more than one tRNA (with a specific anti-codon) for a particular amino acid; and 'wobble' base-pairing, i.e. permitting non-standard base-pairing at the 3rd anti-codon position. Lineage: Bacteria; Thermotogati; Thermotogota; Thermotogae; Kosmotogales; Kosmotogaceae. The record is from RNAcentral.